This 611-nucleotide long non-coding RNA is filed under the name Sus scrofa (pig). RNAcentral describes it as "lncRNA (ENSSSCG00070005156.1)". Lineage: Eukaryota; Metazoa; Chordata; Mammalia; Artiodactyla; Suidae. The record is from RNAcentral.
CGGAACGUCGGAAACUAUUUGGAUAUUCUCUGAAUAGAAGAGAGCAGUCUUCAGCCAUUGUUGAUGAUCUCCAGGGAAAAAAUGAUGUACUUCAGAAAAAAUAUGAUGAUCCUCAAAAGAAACUCAGUAAGUAUCUCUGACGACCUCUUUGUUUCCACAGCCUGUAUUAAACAUUCAGGUUUUUGGUUCUUUCGGCAUCCCCUCUCUUCUUUCCUAUAUGCCAUCUUUUGGCUCACAUGUCAUCUCCAUGUCUUCCCUCUCCUCCCUCAAGGUUUCUGUUUAUGGACGUCUCCCAUCUUAAGUUCUCUUCGUUUCUUUUACCCGAGACCUGAUUCCUUCUCAGUGCUUCCCACUUCAUUUCACAGGGCCCUUCCUGUAAACAUGGUCUUACUCUGGCUUCCAGAGUCUUGGCAGGUUCGUUUUGAUUUUGUGAGAAGAAGGGGAGAGACUGAUGGACAUGUGGCUUCUGUUCCACGUUUAGCUUCUGGAACACUUCCAAUAACGUAGACUCUCUGUCAUACAGCAAAGUUCAAGGGGCCAUUCUCAUGCCAUUGAUGCCUCCCCAAAGCUUAUGAAAUAAAACAAGGCUGCAAAUUUGCUGAGUGAUGUUU